UUCCAUUUAUGGAGUGUGAGCUCCUCUUAUCA
RNAcentral lists this transfer RNA (32 nucleotides) under Phrynocephalus helioscopus (sunwatcher toadhead agama). RNAcentral describes it as "partial tRNA-Tyr". The record is from RNAcentral. Lineage: Eukaryota; Metazoa; Chordata; Lepidosauria; Squamata; Agamidae.